RNAcentral lists this ribosomal RNA (497 nucleotides) under uncultured bacterium. Its description in RNAcentral is "partial 16S ribosomal RNA". It matches the Rfam family "Bacterial small subunit ribosomal RNA", at positions 28 to 507 of the family's 1533-position model. The record is from RNAcentral.
GACGAACGCUGGCGGCGUGCCUAAUACAUGCAAGUUGAGCGCUGAAGGUUGGUACUUGUACCAACUGGAUGAGCAGCGAACGGGUGAGUAACGCGUGGGGAAUCUGCCUUUGAGCGGGGGACAACAUUUGGAAACGAAUGCUAAUACCGCAUAAAAACUUUAAACACAAGUUUUAAGUUUGAAAGAUGCAAUUGCAUCACUCAAAGAUGAUCCCGCGUUGUAUUAGCUAGUUGGUGAGGUAAAGGCUCACCAAGGCGAUGAUACAUAGCCGACCUGAGAGGGUGAUCGGCCACAUUGGGACUGAGACACGGCACAAACGCCUACGGGAGGCAGCAGUAGGGAAUCUUCGGCAAUGGACGAAAGUCUGACCGAGCAACGCCGCGUGAGUGAGGAAGGUUUUCGGAUCGUAAAACUCUGUUGGUAGAGAAGAACGUUGGUGAGAGUGGAAAGCUCAUCAAGUGACGGUAACUACUCAGAAAGGGACGGCUAACUACGUG